RNAcentral lists this ribosomal RNA (497 nucleotides) under uncultured bacterium. Its description in RNAcentral is "partial 16S ribosomal RNA". It matches the Rfam family "Bacterial small subunit ribosomal RNA", at positions 28 to 507 of the family's 1533-position model. The record is from RNAcentral.
GACGAACGCUGGCGGCGUGCCUAAUACAUGCAAGUUGAGCGCUGAAGGUUGGUACUUGUACCAACUGGAUGAGCAGCGAACGGGUGAGUAACGCGUGGGGAAUCUGCCUUUGAGCGGGGGACAACAUUUGGAAACGAAUGCUAAUACCGCAUAAAAACUUUAAACACAAGUUUUAAGUUUGAAAGAUGCAAUUGCAUCACUCAAAGAUGAUCCCGCGUUGUAUUAGCUAGUUGGUGAGGUAAAGGCUCACCAAGGCGAUGAUACAUAGCCGACCUGAGAGGGUGAUCGGCCACAUUGGGACUGAGACACGGCCCAAACUCCUACGGGAGGCAGCAGUAGGGAAUCUUCGGCAAUGGACGAAAGUCUGACCGAGCAACGCCGCGUGAGUGAAGAAGGGUUUCGGAUCGUAAAGCUCUGUUGGUAGAGAAGAACGUUGGUGAGAGUGGAAAGCUCAUCAAGUGACGGUAACUACCCAGAAAGGGACGGCUAACUACGUG